RNAcentral lists this ribosomal RNA (497 nucleotides) under uncultured bacterium. Its description in RNAcentral is "partial 16S ribosomal RNA". It matches the Rfam family "Bacterial small subunit ribosomal RNA", at positions 28 to 507 of the family's 1533-position model. The record is from RNAcentral.
GAUGAACGCUGGCGGCGUGCCUAAUACAUGCAAGUCGAGCGAACAGACGAGGAGCUUGCUCCUCUUACGUUAGUGGCGGACGGGUGAGUAACACGUGGAUAACCUGCCUAUAAGACUGGGAUAACUUCGGGAAACCGGAGCUAAUACCGGAUAAUAUAUUAUACCGCAUGUUUCAAUAUUGAAAGACGCUUUUGCUGUCACUUAUAGAUGAAUCCGCGUGGAAUUAGCUAGUUGGUAAGGUAACGGUUUACUAAGCCGACGUUGAGUAGCCGCCCUGAGAGGUGGACCGGCAACACUGGAACGGAGAACCGGCCAAGAUCCCACCGGGAGCAACAAGUAGGGAAUCUUGCGAAAGGGGCGAAAGCCUGCCGGAGAAAGGCCGCGUGGGUGAUGAAGUUCUUGGGAUGUUAAGCUCUGGUUAUAAGCGAGGACGAAAGGUGUAAGUAAAAAUGCACGCCUUGACGGUAGCUAACCAGAAAGCGACGGCUAACUACGUG